Magnolia sinica is the source of this 770-nucleotide long non-coding RNA. RefSeq lists it as uncharacterized. Lineage: Eukaryota; Viridiplantae; Streptophyta; Magnoliopsida; Magnoliales; Magnoliaceae. The record is from RefSeq and is a predicted model, not a curated record. The transcript has 2 exons.
UUAUGAAGCUGCGUCCGGAAUUUGAGCAUUGUCGGCCUGCUCUCUUGAACCGUAGCCCUACUCCUUCAUUGAAUUCGGUUAUUAAUGAAUUAUUGGCUGAGGAACAACGACUGAAAGUUCUCUCUUCCUUCCUCAACUCCGGGAUCAUCUGAUAUGGUGCUUGCUGUGUCCACCACUAUACCAACACGUGGUUCCACUCCUUUGACUUGUCGCGGCUGCAACAAGGUGGGUCAUGUUAUCGCUUAAUGCAAAGAAUGAUGUACAUAUUGUCGACGGACUGGUCAUGGUAUUCAGGACUGCCGUAUACGUGCCUAUGCAUCUUCUUUCGGCCGUGGACGUGGUGGUUGUGGUCGUGGCUGUGGUCGUGCUUUUUCUGCUACUGUUGCCACUAUUUCUUCAGAGCCAUCUGUUAGUGAUUCUACAUCUACUGUUUCUGCUGAAGGUCUUUCAUCUCCGUUGACUCCUGCGAUGCUUCAGCAAAUCGUUCAGGCCCUUUCUGCGGCCGGUAUGUCAGGAUCUGGCAACGGGGAAGGUACUUGGGAGGGGUAGGCGGCAUGGUUGUCUGUACGUGCUGGAUUUUGAUCCAUCUGUCACUAUGGCUCAUUGUUUCUUUUCUCCAUCUUCAUCAGAUAUUUGUUCGGCAAAUAAAUUGUGGAAACUGUGGCACUUUCGCCUGGGUCAUCCACAUUCCGAUCGGUUACUUCAGUUAAUUUCGUCUGGCAUGUUAGGGAAUAUUUCUCUUAAUAAAAAUGAUUUGGAUUAUUCUUGUU